GUGAUAGGUUUGUGCGCGAGCGUUCGUGUCAGUGAAGUAAUCACAAUUUCAUGCAAUUCGCAGUCAGUUUCUGGAAUUAGUAACGCUUGCGAUGUAAAAUUUGUCAAUGAAACACUAACAUGACAAGAAAGUGAACUUUUAAAACGAGUCCAUCGUUGUAGUCUAUAACACUGACAAGUCCGAAGAGCAAAUUGUGGAAAAGUUUUUUUAGGGUUGCCAUCGACUGACUGACUGCCAGCCUCCGAAUAUUAAUUUCUACCAUCAAACAGGCAUAGCUAUUAUAAUUUGGAUCAGAGAGGAUGUGAUGGGAAGAUGAUAAUGCUAUUUGAAGACAAAGAUGGACCAUGAUUGAUUGGGAUCUUAAUUAUGCUGUCCUUGAAUGUUCUCACGUCUUUGCUCUGCUGGGUCAAACCGAGGAGCGAGAGGUCACGAUGACUCCCAUUGUGUGUGUCAAAGGGGACGAUGAGGUCAUGAGGGACUUCACAAAGUUCAGAUUACGGGCAGGCUGUGCUCUUGGUGGGUAAACUGAAUUAGAUGACAACUGGAGAACCCAUCAGAUUAGAUUACAAAUACUGUGGGUAUUUCUUGCAGAUCUGUGAAUGUCCUACAAUUUGUUUUUGAUGAAUGAGUGAUGUGUGUUCGCAGAUGUUGUAGAAAGUGUUUUAUUUGUUGUUAGUGUCCGUGGGAUAUUUGUAAGUACUCUCCUCCCCUUACCUUUGCUCCACUUCUGUCUUCCUGUGCUGUUGCGCAAUGUCUGAAGUUUUCACACUCUGCCUUGAAAAGAAUAAAUUAUUUAAACCACAGCGUUUGUGUAUAAUUAAUGAGAAAUCAUCUAAGGUGCAUAUAUGAACUGCUGCUAU
Molecule: long non-coding RNA, 860 nt
Filed under: Sinocyclocheilus anshuiensis
Lineage: Eukaryota; Metazoa; Chordata; Actinopteri; Cypriniformes; Cyprinidae
Description: lncRNA (ENSSANG00000045654.1)
Source: RNAcentral